GUGAGUCAUCGAAUCUUUGAACGCACAUUGCGCCCGCCAGUAUUCUGGCGGGCAUGCCUGUUCGAGCGUCAUUUCAACCAUCAAGCCCCCGGGCUUGUGUUGGGGACCUGCGGCUGCCGCAGGCCCCGAAAACCAGUGGCGGGCUCGCUGUCACCCCGAGCGUAGUAGUUUACACCUCGCCCAGGGCGUGCCGCGGGUUUCCCGGCCGUUAAACCCCCCAUACCACAAGGUUGACCUCGGAUCAGGUAGGAAGACCCGCUGAACUUAAGCAUAUCAAUAAGCGGAGGA
Molecule: unclassified non-coding RNA, 288 nt
Filed under: Staphylotrichum sp.
Lineage: Eukaryota; Fungi; Ascomycota; Sordariomycetes; Sordariales; Chaetomiaceae
Description: partial contains 5.8S ribosomal RNA, internal transcribed spacer 2, and large subunit ribosomal RNA
Rfam family: 5.8S ribosomal RNA (bases 1-71)
Source: RNAcentral